This 269-nucleotide ribosomal RNA is filed under the name uncultured prokaryote. RNAcentral's name for it is "partial 16S ribosomal RNA". It matches the Rfam family "Bacterial small subunit ribosomal RNA", at positions 524 to 792 of the family's 1533-position model. The record is from RNAcentral.
UACGUAGGUGGCGAGCGUGGUCCGGAUUUACUGGGCGUAAAGGGAGCGUAGGCGGACUUUUAAGUGAGAUGUGAAAUACCCGGGCUCAACUUUGGUGCUGCAUUUCAAACUGGAAGUCUAGAGUGCAGGAGAGGAGAAUGGAAUUCCUAGUGUAGCGGUGAAAUGCGUAGAGAUUAGGAAGAACACCAGUGGCGAAGGCGAUUCUCUGGACUGUAACUGACGCUGAGGCUCGAAAGCGUGGGGAGCAAACAGGUUUAGAUACCCUGGUA